RNAcentral lists this ribosomal RNA (1238 nucleotides) under Candidatus Phytoplasma mali. RNAcentral describes it as "bacterial SSU rRNA". It matches the Rfam family "Bacterial small subunit ribosomal RNA", at positions 156 to 1399 of the family's 1533-position model. The record is from RNAcentral. Lineage: Bacteria; Bacillati; Mycoplasmatota; Mollicutes; Acholeplasmatales; Acholeplasmataceae.
ACGACUGCUAAGACUGGAUAGGAAGUUUUAAGGCAUCUUGAAACUUUUAAAAGACCCGCAAGGGUAUGCUAAGAGAUGGGCUUGCGGCACAUUAGUUAGUUGGUAAGGUAACGGCUUACCAAGACUAUGAUGUGUAGCUGGACUGAGAGGUUGAACGGCCACAUUGGGAUUGAGAUACGGCCCAAACUCCUACGGGAGGCAGCAGUAAGGAAUUUCCGGCAAUGGAGGAAACUCUGACCGUGCAACGCCGCGUGAACGAUGAAAUAUUUAGGUAUGUAAAGUUCUUUUAUUAAAGAAGAAAAAAUGAUGGAAAAAUCAUUCUGACGGUAUUUAAUGAAUAAGCCCCGGCUAACUAUGUGCCAGCAGCUGCGGUAAUACAUGGGGGGCAAGCGUUAUCCGGAUUUAUUGGGCGUAAAGGGUGUGUAGGCGGUUUAAUAAGUCUAUGGUAUAAGUUCAACGCUUAACGUUGUGAUGCUAUGGAAACUGUUUGACUAGAGUUGGAUAGAGGCAAGUGGAAUUCCAUGUGUAGCGGUAAAAUGCGUAAAUAUAUGGAGGAACACCAGUAGCGAAGGCGGCUUGCUGGGUCUUAACUGACGCUGAGGCACGAAAGCGUGGGGAGCAAACAGGAUUAGAUACCCUGGUAGUCCACGCCGUAAACGAUGAGUACUAAGUGUUGGGUUAAACCAGUGCUGAAGUUAACACAUUAAGUACUCCGCCUGAGUAGUACGUACGCAAGUAUGAAACUUAAAGGAAUUGACGGGACUCCGCACAAGCGGUGGAUCAUGUUGUUUAAUUCGAGGAUACACGAAAAACCUUACCAGGUCUUGACAUACUCUGCAAAGCUAUAGAAAUAUAGUGGAGGUUAUCAGGGAUACAGGUGGUGCAUGGUUGUCGUCAGCUCGUGUCGUGAGAUGUUGGGUUAAGUCCCGCAACGAGCGCAACCCUUAUCGCUAGUUACCAUCAUUUAGUUGGGCACUUUAGUGAGACUGCCAAUGAUAAAUUGGAGGAAGGUGGGGAUUACGUCAAAUCAUCAUGCCCCUUAUGACCUGGGCUACAAACGUGAUACAAUGGCUGUUACAAAGAGUAGCUGAAGCGUGAGUUUUUAGCAAAUCUCAAAAAAACAGUCUCAGUUCGGAUUGAAGUCUGCAACUCGACUUCAUGAAGUCGGAAUCGCUAGUAAUCGCGAAUCAGCAUGUCGUGGUGAAUACGUUGACGGGGUUUGUACACACCGCCCGUCA